This 1008-nucleotide long non-coding RNA is filed under the name Junco hyemalis (dark-eyed junco). RNAcentral describes it as "lncRNA (ENSJHYG00000007020.1)". Lineage: Eukaryota; Metazoa; Chordata; Aves; Passeriformes; Passerellidae. The record is from RNAcentral.
AUGAAACCCAAACCAAGUGGCCGGGAUCUCUGGCCGAGGCAGCAGCUAAAGUUACAGGUCUGCUGCAGAGCAGCAAUUCCACAGAGUUUUGAAGAGGAGGUGUCAGCUGUAAUUGUGAAGAGCCAUGCAAAUUCACCCUGGAGUUGCUCAGGAAAGGAAAAACAAACCCAAACAACAAACCCUGAAAUCUCUUAGCUUUUUAACCAGUUAACUUAGGUUCAGUUGUGGCUGUUGCAAGCACCUCACAGGUUCUGGGAAAUUAGGACUGGAAGGGACCUUAAAAAAAAGCAUAGUUGGGAAAUUUUCUUAAUGGUUAUCCAGAACUUACCUUGCUGUAAGUUCAGUAAACUUUUGUCCUGUUUGUCAGGGAACAGUGACAGUGGGGCUGCUCCCAAGGGAGGAUGAGCCAGGGGCCAAGGGUAACUCCAGGACAGGCAAUGCCCUCAGCAGCUGGGGUGAGCAGAGCCAGGGGCUUGUGACAGCAUCUGCCAGGAGCCCAGACACAGGAGAGGGCAUGAACCAGGGGCAGGGCCAUCCAGGGACAGCAGGAAUGAGACAGGACUGGAGACAAGGUGAUGACAUGAACCUGGGAUCCACCUGGGAAGGCCUGUUGGAGAACAGGGACAGAGGAGGUCUGGGGGGAAUGGAGAGUGCUUCCAGGGAAGUGGUCAGAAAAAUUAAAACCUGUUAGUGCUGACAGUGUCCUGACAGAAUUCACAGUGGAUGUGGUGAUCAGUUACGCUCUUCUGUGGAAGAUGAAUCUGCUGGUUUUAUCCAUCCCUCUGAAGGUGCACUCCUAUAUUCAUUGAAAGGAAAAAAGAUUGUGGAAAUGCACAUUAAAAAGGUGUAUAAAAUUAUCCUCUUGGUUCUUGUGUUUCAUGGUGUUGUGUCUCAAUACAAGCCUGUGGAAGGAUUUUGUUUCUAUGUGGUGGUUGUUGUUCUGGGCAGGAUUUUGUCUCUUGGCAGGAAUGAGAAAUAAACUUUUUUUCCCUUGAACCCCUUGACUCA